This is a long non-coding RNA of Brassica napus (rape), 3548 nucleotides long. RefSeq lists it as uncharacterized. NCBI's taxonomy places the organism in Eukaryota, Viridiplantae, Streptophyta, Magnoliopsida, Brassicales, Brassicaceae. The record is from RefSeq and is a predicted model, not a curated record. The transcript is spliced from 8 exons.
UAAACAUUAUGUGUUGUUUGCAUAAUUAGAUUAAAUAAAUAGUUACAAAAUAAAAAGAUUGAAGAAUAAAAGAACUAAAGUAUAAAUAAAAAAGUUUCACUCUAUUAUAUAGUAAGAAAUAGAGUUACUCCAAAUAUAUAGUAAGAAAUAGAGUUGCACUAUUUUGUUAAACAUAAUUAUCUGUUGUCUCUUUUGUCUGAGAAUUAAGAUUCGUUCCUAGGACAAUCGGAGUUCUGCUGUUAGUUUGUUGCUGAGUUCACGCUUUGAUUCUAUGGUCUAUCUUUCUGUAUCUGUUUAUGUAAAAUUGAUUUUCCAAUAUAUCUCGAGUUCUUAUGUCAAAUUGAGCUUUGAGAACUUAAUCGCUUAGCUGAUCUGAUCUAAAAUUUUCACCAGAAUGCUAAUGCAUUAUCUCAUUGGCUUGAGUAGUAGUUCUACAUUUCUGUUUGGAUGUUAAGUGUUAACUUAGAUCGUAAGGUUUAGCCGUCAAAAAAAGAGACAACCAGAUGUAUUUGGUGUAGGGUUCAUCUUCACGGUUUGUGUGGGGUUUAACCAACUUCUUCCACCAUCUCAUUCGUUCACGAUUUGCGUGGGUUCUGUUCUCAUAUGAAAGUUUAUGUUUUGUGUUUCUGUUCUCACGGUUUUAUUUGGCUAUUACAAGAACGUAUUAUUAUUGUCUUGUUCAGACUUGAAGAAGUGUAUCUUCAGUUAUUUUUGUGCUUGAAUUUCAUGUAAUUGCAGAAAGAUGUUUGGUUAUUGAUUUACAGACUCUUUUUUUUUGUGAUUUUCUUGAAACAAAGUCUAAAUGUUUGUUUUUCACAGGAUAAUGGCGACUGCUCAAGUUACAGAGAAAGAGAUGAAUCCAAAGGAUGACGAUCAAUAUAAAGUUUGGAAAACACUCGAUCACCCCACAAAAUUAAAGCUGUUGCAUCAAAUCACCUGUUCAGUUCAUUUUACCGAUUUGCUGUAGCCGGUGGAAACAGGGUUACAAUUUGUGAGUUGCCUAAUGAUGCUUAAAAUAAUCAUGUUCUAAAUGAGAAAUCUUAUAUAGAUGAUAAGGUCGUUGAAUCGUUUUUGGCUGUCAACUGGGCAGUGAAAGACGAUACGCACUACAUACUUGUUGGAAGAUUAAUGUGUAUAAUCCAGUUUUUUUGUCGUUCGAACAAAUUUUACCUCUUCUAUUCUGGUGAAGACAAAUGUGUCAGAGUGAUGUAUCUAAACGGGUACCAUGAAGCUAAAAAGUGGACUAAGAAAAAUUACAAGACCCAAAAAGGAAAACAGGUUGGCGAGCCCAUAAGUCUUGAAAGGAUAUCAGUUUCUAGCAUUGACUGUGUCAGCUGUUUGCAAACGCAAGUGUUGUCACAGAUUGGUGAGGCUGGAUUGAUUGUGUGAAAGUUUAUCAUUCUUCUUUUGAGGAUAAGGUCAAACCCAUAUGACAUUUCCGUAUUAAAGAUGGUGGAAAUUCAAAGUUCGAAAUUACUGGUAUGCAUGGAAGAUUUGCAGUAGGAAACCGAAAGGGAGCUAUUUACGUCUUUGAUGUGGAUCGUUUUCAUUCAGUUGAACUAGUUGCCAUUUCACUAUAUCAAGAUUCAAAUAACCCUAUCAUAGAGACUGCAACUAGUUCUGAUGGAAGGCAUAAAUAAAUGUAAUUAAGUUUUAUAGUUUAUAAAUUCUGGGUUAUUACAAAUUGUCAAUUUCACUUUUUUCAGUGUUGUUUUUACUGUUAACGAAAGCGGAGCUGCUAGUAUUUGGAUUAACAAUAUUGAGUCUUCCACAUUGAAUGCUGAUGUUACUGCUACCACUACUCCUACAAAUGAUGAUGGAGUUGCAGUAGCUGAACCUAAGAGAAGAGAAUCGACCCGUACGAGACGACCAAACACGAGAUACAUGGGGUGUAACUGGUAACAACUAAAAGAAAUAUAUGAAAUGAUAUGAAUUAUUAUUUCUGAAAUUUAAUGGAAUGGAAUGGAAUCAGCAUUCCACUUAUUCCAAAACGUUUUCAAUUUGGAAUGAUUUUUCAAAUGAUAGUUAAUUUUUUUCUGGAAUGGUAUGGAAUGUUAUGAAAUGAAAUUGAAUACACGUUCCAUUUUUUUAUUGUAACUGGUGAUUUUUUUUGGAAUGCACUUGAAUUAAACAUUCAGGAAGUUUUAAUUCUAAAAAAUGCAUUCUAGUUGCAGCCAUGGAUUAUGUCGUUUAGGAAUUCACUUUAGGAAUUCACUUCCUCCACUUUUCCAUUUCACGUAUUUGUAAGAGCAUUGUUAUAUGUACACAUAUUUUCUAAAUAUAAUAUGUAAAAUUUAUAACAAAAAGAAAUGUUUUUUGGAGGACUAUAUUAGUGAUAAACUUUAAAAAAUAAAAGUUUACCGUUUAUAUUCUACUACAUUUCAGAAUAGAAUAUAAACGGUAAACUUUUAUUUUUUAAAGUUUAUCACUAAUAUAAUCCUCCAAAAAACAUUUCUUUUUGUUAUAAAUUUUAUCCCCUCUUUCUCUAUCAAAAAUACAUAUUUCUCUCCAUAUCUCUCUCUAUCAAUCUCUUUUUGUCUCUCUCUUAAAAAAAUAACACAAUCAUUAAAGAAUAUUUUGUCUUUGUUAUUGUGAAGUUUACACAAACUAUAUUCAUUAAUUUUUAAAAUCACUCACACAAAAGAAUUUCAUACAAAAUAUUUUAAGUAUUUUAAAUUUAUGGCUUUAACGAUAAAAUAAAUACCUGAAAAACAUUAGUUCAUAAUGUGAUUCCUUACUUUUUUUCAAUAUAUAAUCCUUUUCUCUCUCAUCGUUAACAUUUUAUUUUUUUGAAACAGAUUAAAAGGUAAAUCGUUUUAAUUCAUUGAUUAUCUUAUUACUACCACUAUUUUGACUUAUAUGGGAAUAUUUACUAAUUUAAUAUUUUAUCAUGAAAAUAUUUUAAUAUUUUCUUUAAUUUCUUUCUAUUUCACCUAUAUAUAUAUAUCAGUCUCUCGUUCAGUCUAGCUUUCUCUCUAUCUCUAAAUACAUCUUUCUCUCUAUAUCCAUUUUUUUCUCUCUCUUCCCUAUAAAAAUAACACAAAAACGUUAAAAUAAUAUUUCUUUUUUAUUGUGAACAUACAUAAACUACAUUCAUUAAUUUUUAAAAUCACCCAAACAAAAAAAAAUUCAUAAACAAAUUUUAAACGUUAUAAACUUAUGGAUUUGGUCGAUAAAAUAAAUAUCCUAAAAGCAUUACUUCAUAUGUGAUGACUUAGAGUUUAAAAUAUAAAAAAAAAACUAAAUUUAUUUUUCAAUAUCUGAUUUUCCUUUCUUUAGUUUCUUUCUAUUUCACUUGUUUCAUCUAUUUUAAUAUUCUCUCAGCAUCCGUCUCUCUCUCUAUCAUAAUCUUUAACUCCCUCUAUUUAACACACACACACACACACACACAUAUAUAUAUAUAUAUGUCAGUCUCUCUUUCGAUCCCCUCUUUCUCUGUCGAAAAAUACAUAUUUCUCUCCAUAUCUCUCUCUAUCAAUCUCUUUUUGUCUCUCUCUUAAAAAAAUAACACAAUCAUUAAAGAAUAUUUUGUUUUUGUUAUUGUGAAG